UAUAGAUACAUCGAUGUAUAUACUUAAUACAAAAAAGUUCAUAAAUACAUGGAAGAUAGAAGAUAUGGAUACAAGUACCGGAGACUUGAGAUUAAGGCUACUGAGGCUCUUCAAGGUAUCGUGUUUGUCUCGUAUUGGUCUAUUUGAAAAGCUCGAAACAAGAAGAUGUUCGAAAAUGGUAGGGUUUGUGUAGAUCGGAUUUUUGAGGAAAUAUAAGUCCUCGGAUUUAGUUGGUACAUAAAUAGAAACAAAAAGGUUUCCAUUACUUUGGAAAAAUUGGUGUAAAUUCACCUUGAUGUAAAAAUUUUCUUUUAUAUAUUUGCCACACCACUAUUUGUAUUUCA
Long non-coding RNA from Erigeron canadensis, 344 nucleotides. RefSeq lists it as uncharacterized. NCBI's taxonomy places the organism in Eukaryota, Viridiplantae, Streptophyta, Magnoliopsida, Asterales, Asteraceae. The transcript has 2 exons. The record is from RefSeq and is a predicted model, not a curated record.